GAUUGCCAUUGAUACUGUUUGACUUGAAUAUAGAUGAGGUAGGCGGAAUGUGUAGUGUAUCGGUGAACUGCUUAGAUAUACACAGAACACCGAUUGCGAAGGCAGCUUACUAAUCCAUGAUUGAGGAGAGGCAGGGAAGCGUGGGGAUCAAACAGGAUUAGAUACCCCAGGUAGUACACGCUGUAAACGAUGAUCACUCGCUGUUUGCGAUACACAGUAAGCGGCUAAGCGAAAGCGUUAAGUGAUCCACGUGAGGAGUACGAUCACAAGGUUAAAACUCAAAGGAAUUGACGGGAGCCCGCACAAGCGGAGGAACAUGUGGUUAAAUUCGUUGAUACGCGAGGAUCUUUACCUGGGAUUAAGUGGGGAGUGACAGCUUCUGAAAGGUGGUUUUCUUCGGACACUCUCCAAGGUGCUGCAUGGUUGUCGUCAGCUCGUGCCGUGAGGUGUCGGGUUAAGUCCCAUAACGAGCGCAACCCUUACAUGUUAGUUGCCAGCGGGUAAUGCCGGGGGGUCUAGCGGGACUGCCACCGUAAGGUGAGGGGAAGGUGGGGAAGACGUCAAAUCAGCACGGCCCUUAUGUCCAGGGCUACACAAUUGUUGCAACAACCGGUACAAAAAGCAGGUACACGAGGAAAACCCACAAAUCUCCAAACCCUAUCUCAGUUAGUAUGCAAGUCGGCAACCCGA
This 690-nucleotide ribosomal RNA is filed under the name uncultured bacterium. RNAcentral's name for it is "bacterial SSU rRNA". It matches the Rfam family "Bacterial small subunit ribosomal RNA", at positions 619 to 1315 of the family's 1533-position model. The record is from RNAcentral.